AUUGAACGCUGGCGGCAUGCUUUACACAUGCAAGUCGAACGGUAACAGGGUGCUUGCACCGCUGACGAGUGGCGAACGGGUGAGUAAUACAUCGGAAUGUACCCAGUAAUGGGGGAUAACGCUUCGAAAGGAGUGCUAAUACCGCAUACGCCCUGAGGGGGAAAGUGGGGGACCGCAAGGCCUCACGUUAUUGGAGCAGCCGAUGGCUGAUUAGCUAGUUGGUGAGGUAAAGGCUCACCAAGGCGACGAUCAGUAGCGGGUCUUAGAGGACGAUCCGCCACACUGGAACGGAGACACGGUCCAGACUCCUACGGGAGGCAGCAGUGGGGAAUCUUGGACAAUGGGCGAAAGCCUGAUCCAGCAAUGCCGCGUGCGUGAAGAAGGCCUUCGGGUUGUAAAGUGCUUUUGUCUGGGAGCAAAUCCUGGCCUCUAAUACAGGUCGGGGAUGAGAGUACCAGAAGAAUAAGGACCGGCUAACUACGUGCCAGCCGCCGCGGUAA
This 500-nucleotide ribosomal RNA is filed under the name uncultured bacterium. Its description in RNAcentral is "partial 16S ribosomal RNA". It matches the Rfam family "Bacterial small subunit ribosomal RNA", at positions 30 to 523 of the family's 1533-position model. The record is from RNAcentral.